This is a non-coding RNA of Triticum aestivum (bread wheat), 86 nucleotides long. The record is from Rfam. Lineage: Eukaryota; Viridiplantae; Streptophyta; Magnoliopsida; Poales; Poaceae.
UGGCAGUGAUUAGAAUCUUACCCGCGCUUCUGAUUUAACUCGUGAAGCACAAGGGAAAACAUGGUUGAAUUUCUUAAUAUGAGCCA